UGCAUUGCUAUCGGAGGUCGUUUGGCCCCCUAAAUAAUUCGCCGAAGUUGGGACUUUGACACAGUUUUUCCGUAGUGCCGGAAAAAUUUGUCAAAAUCCGAUUCUUCCUCUUUUAACCGCCUCUACAACCCUUAUCCGACCCCUCUAGACUAUAUCCACCCUUUGUAUAGCCUAAUGUCAUCAAGAGACUAGAUAGGGACGAAUAUUUACCUUUUUCUUUUUGGAAAUCGAGGUCCUUGCGUAGAGGGGAAGGAGAUCUACGUUUUUCCCUUCAGCUGGAAGUGCAACCGGGAUCCCUCUCCUCCUCGAAUCCC
RNAcentral lists this long non-coding RNA (314 nucleotides) under Phoenix dactylifera (date palm). RNAcentral's name for it is "long non-coding RNA (PDAC_LNC021368)". Lineage: Eukaryota; Viridiplantae; Streptophyta; Magnoliopsida; Arecales; Arecaceae. The record is from RNAcentral.